Molecule: non-coding RNA, 177 nt
Organism: Clostridiaceae bacterium BRH_c20a
Lineage: Bacteria; Bacillati; Bacillota; Clostridia; Eubacteriales; Clostridiaceae
Source: Rfam
AACUCCCUACGGUGUUCGUGGGGCGAUUCGGUAGUUUUGAGCCAACACUUAAACAUUGGGAGCCUAACUCUGGCUGUGUAGUAUAUGCCCAUCGGGGGACUUACGAAACAAUCAGGAGGGCACCCACCUCCGGGAGCAGGUUCAAAACUCCGGCAUCACGGCAUAUGUGGGGUAUUA